This 2755-nucleotide long non-coding RNA is filed under the name Durio zibethinus. RNAcentral's name for it is "long non-coding RNA (DZIB_LNC000830)". The record is from RNAcentral. Lineage: Eukaryota; Viridiplantae; Streptophyta; Magnoliopsida; Malvales; Malvaceae.
UUUUAUGUGGCUAUAAAACCCAAAGGUCAGCCUUUUUUUUUCAUACCUCACCUUCCACUUUUCUCUUUUCUUUUCUUUUCUCUCCCUCUCCUUCUAGAACCCAGAUUGAAAACUUCAAAGGGUUUCAGAUCCCAACACUGACGUCAUCGUGAUCUGCCAUCAUUCGAUGAUUGAUCAAGCCAAAAUUUUCCCUAUCGCUACUUCUUGUUUUCUUCGUCUCAAAUAUGGCUGGUUUUUUCAAAAAUCAUUUUCUAAAGGUGUAUAUCAGAAGUUCAAGCCUCGGGUUUUUCCUUCUUUGUUCCAACCUCUUCCGUCGAAUUUUCUCUAACUUUCAAUAUAUUAUUUCUCCCGUCCAACUCCUCGCCUUCACUGUUUAGAUCUCUCAAAAGUAGUGUCGAUCGUUAUCUGUCACCGUACCACUAAUGGUAGGUUUCUAGUUUUCCCUUUUGCUCCUCUUAUUUUCCAUUUUGUUUGAUUCUUCGCUUUUCAUUUAUGAUCUCUUUUGGUUUCUAAUUUUGCUUCGGUUCUGAAUUAGUGUUGACUUAGCUAACUGACGAAGGGCGACUAUCUAACGAGAAACUGAUGAUGGUGGUAGGUCCUGAUUCCUGUAACAAGCAAUUAUUGUGGAUGUUUCGACUUGGGUGAAUUAUUAACUCUACUGUUUGUUAGUUGUGCUUCAAUGUCUAAUCGUUUAGGGAAAUUGGACGAUAUAGGUAAGGAUUAUCUUUUGUAUGUGGCUUUGGGUGUACUAGCCCUCGUGUGAUUAUUGAACUAUUAAGAAUUGGUUGGUAGUGAUCUAAUUAAGAAUUAAGGAUGAGCUGGCUUCAUCCCGUUCCUCCUUUGACUUUUUUGUAUAUUACAACUUGAAUCACUGUAUGCAUUUUUCUUGUGUGAUUUUUCUCUGAUCCCCUGCCAUUUCCAUUGUUGAUAAAUUGCAAAGAGUUUUAGAUCAAUUUCGAUUAGUCUCACAAAGUUAUAUAUUAGCACAUAAUCUCAUGCUUUCUGAUAACAAUCAUCACCUAACCUAAUUUAAAACUUUUAGCCUUUUAUUUAUUAAUCAGAUAAUGAAGAAGAAAAAAUAAAUAAAUAAACUAGAGAUAAGCCACAAAAUAAAGUUCAAAAUAAAAAUGAAUAAAAAUCUCACAAUCAAGCUUGGAUCUUGCUCAACUGAAGAAAAAAUCAUGGACAAAAUAAGAUGUCUACAUGAUUAAUUACAUUAUAAUCGUAUAUAAGAUAUGCUUUUUUAUAUUUACAAUAAUAAUUAUAUUUUUAAUUUAUGAUUAAUAUUUAUUCAAAUUAUAUUUAUUUUUAAUUAAUUUUUAUUUAAUUUAAAAUUAUUAAUUUUUUUUUUGAAGUUACAUUUAUAAUCAUGAAUCAAUAAAUAUAAUAUUGAAUAAUCAAUUAAAAAUUAUAAUUUAACUAAAUGAUUCAUAUGCAAUUAAACUUAAACUUAAAAUCUCAUAAUUUUAAAAUUUUUUCUUGCCAUUAAAUCAAGAUCUUAUUAAUUAAAAAUUAUUAAAUUUUAAUUAUAAAUUUAAUUAAAAAUACAAUAUCCACCUUUAAAUAAAAUAAUUAAAACUUUUUAAACAAAGAAGAUCAUCUUUCCUUACAAUCUUUUCCUGGGUAAAAUCCCUACUCCCUAGCACUUAACUUUGAAAUUAAUAAGCUACUGCCAUCGGUUAUCCCCAUAAAGAGGUUUAAAAAUUGUUUAAGGUGAUCUUUGAUAUGCCAUGAUAUUUUUAAAUUAUGUUGAUUAUCAUGUUUAGUAAGAAUUCACUCGUGAUGGAUAGAAUAAAAUAAUAAUUAUUUUAUAUUACAUUUGAUUUAUAUUUAAAAAAGAAAAAAGAUAUGAUUAUAAAGAAAAUUAAUCACUCUUUUGGUAAAAGAUGAUUCAAUCAUCUCAGAGUAAAAAAAAUUAUUUUUAAUUCAUGGACUUGAAUUUAAAUAUUUUAUUAUACCUUUAAAAAUUAUAUUAAUAAUUUAAAUUAUAUAAGUUUUAAAAAAAAUAAUUUUGAUCAAUAAGUAAAUUAUCUUAUCUUAAUUCUUACACACAUCAAAAGUAAAAUAGAGAGAUUAUUUAAUUUAAUUUUAUUUAUAAUAUUAUCUAAUCAUAUGCUAUCAUAAUCUUGUAAACCAAACGUAUGUUUAUAUUCUUAUAUUCUUAUCCUCAAGUUUUGCCUCAACUGUACAAUGUUAAGAACGCACCCCUUGUAUGAUCCUCAAGUUUUGCCUGAGCUUUCAGGGCAAUCUUAAGAGCACACCCUUAUGUGACAACCCACCAUCUAUUCCCCAUCCCAGCCUCCGCUGGUAUAUAGGCACCCAUUAAAUGCUACCCAAAACUUAUUUUCUUUACAUCCACCCAUUAAAUGGUCAUUGUGCCUAUUGCUGGAAAUUGGAAUGCUAAACGUAAUUGAUCAUGGCUUUACUAUGAUCAUUCCUACAACUGAAUCUAUAGGAACGACGACCAUAAAACAGGACCACAAAGUUAUGCAUAUGAUCUUUCCUUUACUCAUCUGUUCUUUGGUUUCCUUUGUUUGUUCAGCAAUAAAGAUGCUACAGAUGUUUUCUGCCCUGACAUUUCAACAGCUGAGACUAAUGCUGUCUAAACAAGAAUUUCUGUCCCUUUUUUUUUAUGCAUUUGGGUUCAUAUGAAGUGCAGGUACCUGUAACUGAUCAUGAAGUGGUGGUGAUUAUGUUGACUAAAUCCAGAAACCCGGCAUGCAGUAAUGCUUUAGUCCAGCUUUUUGAUACAGUG